Molecule: RNA transcript, 3236 nt
Organism: Sapajus apella (tufted capuchin)
Lineage: Eukaryota; Metazoa; Chordata; Mammalia; Primates; Cebidae
Gene name: bifunctional methylenetetrahydrofolate dehydrogenase/cyclohydrolase, mitochondrial pseudogene
Exons: 1
Source: RefSeq, a predicted model, not a curated record
AAGCCCUAGAGCUGUGAGUACCGAUCUCUUAAGGCUGCCACCUGGAAGACGUGACUUUCUGUUGUGAAACCUUCCUUAUUCUUUAGCACCUGAAGAAAACAGACAUUCUACGGGCCCGGACUGGGUGCUGAAAUAGAGUGGAAAGGAAACUAGGCAGAUAGGGCGCUAACCUCACACAGCCUGCAGUCUAGCAGGAAAGACAGACAUUGACUACAGCCCAUGAAUGCACAGUGACAAGGAGGUUAGAUGCUCUCUCAGAGGCAAAAGCUCAUGGGAACAUAUGACAGUUAAAUUUGAACAGUUAAACCUUUGGGGCGGGGAACUAGAAAGGCCAUAUCUUGCGGAAGUGGUGUCUGAGUUCUUAUCCGAAGUUGGUACGAGUGAAGAAAGUAAAACUAGGUGAAGGAUGGGGCAGGAAGUUGCAGGCGAAAGGAGCUGCUUGCGCAAGGCCCCUGUGGCGGGAGUAUAAUGAGAACAGCAUGCCAACCUCCCAGGGCUGUGGGAGGAUCCCUGGGGAUUCAUACAUGUCAGUGUCUCUUCACCACCACGAGGGGGCAGCACUGCCUGAUGUGGCUGGGGAGGUGGGCAUGGCCAGAGCACACCAGUUUUGUAGCCGCUUCUGCUAGGUGUGGAAUGCCUCCAGAUGGUUUCAAAAGUACCACAGUGACCUGAUUCGAUUUUUAUUUGCUUUUGAAAGUUUACUCCCUUAAAAAUAUAAAUGCGUGAAGAAUGAAUUGGAGAAGAAUGGGUAUGUGCAAAUCAGAUGAGGUCAGUGAAGAAGUCUGGAUCAGAGAUGUGUCUGGCUUAGAGGCUCCUGGGUAUUGCCAGUAUAUGUUGAUUUCAACCCUCACGAGUUCUUGCAUUUCAAGAACCUGUAAUAGCACAGAUAAGGAAAACCUCAAAUUUUAUAUAUAGCUAUUUCCAUUCUUAUUGGAAAUCCAAACAUAUCAACCAGUAAUUCCAAGGAUAGUUCCUUUCCUUAAUAAAUUUUCUUUCUGUGAAAAGGAUUUGCCUCAUUUUGCUUUUAGCAGCCAGAGUAGCCCUUAUAUAUUUCAAAUAGGAGUUGAUGUGCCGCACACCCAAGUUUCUGUUAACAUAGGCUGUGCAUUCAACAACGUGACUCUUACAGGCUGCAAAGUAUAGAAAGCAUGCAUGUAGGGCCCACCCGGCAUGGUCACUGGCGUGGGCUAUGCCUGCGCCUUCGCUCAUGUCCAUGUUGGCUGCCCGACUGCUGCAGUCUGUGCACAGAUGCUCCCUCCACCCUCGCCCCUUCUACCUCGUGGCAGUUCGAAAUGAAGCCGUGGUCAUUUCUAGAAGGAAACUGGCCCAGCAGAUCAACCAGGAAGGACAGCAGGAGGUGGAAGAGUGGGUGGCCUCAGGCAAUAAGCGGCCACACCUGAGCAUGAUCCUCUUUGUCCAGAAUCCUGCAAUCACACCUAUGUCCUCAACAAAACCAGAGCAGCAGCAGAUGUGGGAAUCAACAGGGAGACAGUUGUGAAACCGGCUUCAAUUUCAGAGGAAGAAUUGUUGAAUUUAAUCAAUAAACUAAAUAAUGAUGAUAACAUAGAUGGCCUCCUUGUUCAACUGCCUCUUCCAGAGCAUAUUGACGAGAGAAAGAUCUGCAAUGCUGUUUCUCCAGACAGGGAUGUUGAUGUCAUGUAAUUAAUGUAGGGCGAAUGUGUUUGGACCAGGAUUCCAUGUUACCGGCUACUCCAUGGGGUGUGUGGGAAAUAAUUAAGCGAACUGGCAUUCCAACCCAGUUGGAAGAAUGUGCUUGGCUGGAGGGUUAAAAAAUGUUGGAAUGCCCAUUGCAAUGUUACUGCACACAGACAGGGCACAUGAACAUCCCAGAGGUGAUGCCACUGUUAGAAUAUCUCAUCGAUACACUCCCAAACAGCAGUUGAAGAAGCAUACAAUUCUUGCAGAUAUUGUAAUAUCCGCUGCAGGCAUUCCAAAUCUGAUCACAGCAGAUAUGAUCAAGGAAGGAGCAGCAGUUAUUGAUGUGGGAAUAAAUAGAGUUCACGAUCCCAUAACUGCCAAACCCAAGUUGGUUGGAGAUGUGGAUUUUGAAGGAGUCAGACAAAAAGCUGGUUAUAUCACUCCAGUUCCUGGACGUAUUGUCCCCAUGACAGUGGCAAUGCUAAUGAAGAAUACCAUUAUUGCUGCAAAAAAGGUGCUGAGGCUUGAAGAGCGAGAAGUGGUGAAGCCUGAAGAGGUUGGAGUAGCCAGUAAUUAACUAUUGUGACUUAUGUGUCACGGACAACACUCCAAGCCAGCUUAAGAAGCAAAGCAGGCCAAUAGAAAUGCAAUAUUUUUAGUUUAUUCCACUGAAAUUGUUUAAAAUGAUGCUUUGUAUUUAUUAAAAGCUUAAAUGGGUGGGUGUUUGUGCACACACCUGCAGUACCUUGCCAGGGAGCAUUCCACUAUCAUGCAGGGUCAUGUGAUCUAGCCAAGCGCAGCCAUUAACCUAGUGGUGAACAUGGAGACAUUGUCCUAUGGAGAAUGGACGCUUAACUUUGUCAGGCCCUCGGUUAAACAUUUGCCUUUUCUAGGAUUGCAUUUCUCAAGUACUGUUCCAAUAAGAGUUGAUACUCAUUUUAGGUACCAAACCUUUUGAGUUCAGCUGAUCAAACCAAAGGAAAAGUGUUGCCAGAGGAAAUUAGGGGAAAGGUGAAAAAGAAAAAAAUGGUAGUAAUUGAGUAGAAAGAAAUUAACUUAUAUAUGCAUUGACUGGUCACCAGAUUUAUCUAAAUUAACUGAAUUGGCUAGGAAAAAAAACUACAUGUUAAUUGUUUUUCUAAGCUGUCUUUUUGAGGCUUAGUCAGUCAUUGGGAAAACGUUUAGGAUUAUUCCUUGCUAUUAGUCCUCAGUUUAUGUUUGUUACCCUUCAGUAAGUUCUCCUGAUUUUAGUUUUCUAGGAUCGAAAGGCUUCUUUUAUACAUUAUUCAUGUGUAUUGUCAUAUUUGUUUUUUGCUAUAUGCUUUAACUUCAUUGUUAAAUUUUUGUAUAGUUUCUUUGGUAUAUUUUAAAACCUAUUUUUGAAAAACAAACUUGGCUUGAUAAUCAUUUGGGCAGCUCGGGUAAGUCUGCAACUUACUUUUCCACCAGAUAACUGUUAGCAGCUGCCUGCUUUUCUAUGAUGCACCCUGUUGACUUUUCCAGAAAAUAUUUAAGAGUUUGCAUUAAUAUUGAAUUUAAUCAGACUUUUUGAUUAAAGGUUAUUUUUUUCUUUUUUU